Bubalus bubalis (water buffalo) is the source of this 3748-nucleotide RNA transcript. It is a transcript of the gene named leucine rich repeat containing 31, with no coding region annotated. The record is from RefSeq and is a predicted model, not a curated record. The transcript is spliced from 2 exons. Lineage: Eukaryota; Metazoa; Chordata; Mammalia; Artiodactyla; Bovidae.
AAGCAGGGCCUGGUCAAGUAGGGGAUGGAUAGAGAUCAAGAGAACAACCAUCCUUAAUGGCCUGACCAUACAUACAUCAUUGGUGGUGGUGACCUUGGAGAAACAAUUUAUUUGGUCAGGUGAGCGUGGCAACUAGAAUGUAGAGGACUAAUUGGUAGCUGUGUUGAAGAAGUGGGGCCAGCAAGCACACUCCACUCUUUUCAAACAUUUGACAGUAAAGGAAAUGAUUGACAGAACAGUGGCUUGAGGAGAAAACAAAGAAAAAGAAGGCUUGGUGAAGCUGGAACUUGAGCAUGGUUGUAGGCUGAACCUACAGAGAUAAAAAAGCUAAAAGACAAAAAGGAGUGCAAUAAGACACAAUGCAGAGAAAAAACUUUUAAGCACAAAAAUUUAAAAAGCACACACAUAUAAUGGGCUUUGGAGCAGAUUGUUCUGGGUUCAAAUUCUGACUCUGCUGCUGACCAAUUAACAGUCUGAGUCUCGGCUUCCAAAUCUAUGAGACAGUGUGCUGACGACUCCUUGCAUCAAGUGUACACAAAAUGUUCUGUCCUCACUGGCAUGUAAGAGGCAGUCCUUCCUCGUCCCCCUCAUCCAUAAUCUCCUCUGAUCCACCCCAAAUUAGGGUUGUCAGAAAAAGAAAAAUACCUGCAUUAUUUGGGAUGUACUUUUACUAAACAAUGAUUCUUUGUUUACCAGAAGUUUAAGGUUAAUUGGACAUGGUAUUUUUGUUUUUCUUAAAUCUGCAACCCUACCCAAAAUAAAAUACCUUGUAUACAACUUACUAUAAUAAAAAUUGGAGGCCAGAGUGAAGAGGUAAAUGGUGGGUGGAUGAUGCUGCCUCUUACUGGUAGAAUGUGGCAACACCAACCAUCCUAUCAAAGACGUACAGCCUGUAGGCGGUUUUCUUAAGAAUGGCAAGCCACUAGACCCGCUGCAGAAGAGAGAUGGAGUCUAUUCUCCUGCUAAUAUUUUAGUCUAAAUUUACUACUAUGGUAAUGCUGCUAUCUUUUCAUUUUCACUGGUGCCAAUAUAUUUCAUUUUUCUCUAUAUGAUUUGUAUACUUUUUUCUCAGGGUUAGAGUAUUACUGUACAUUUGGAACUUAUGCUUUCCUAUUGGAUUCCAGUAUGCAUACUGUUUGUAUAUAUUUUAUUUAUUUAUUUGGCCUCACCACACAGCAUGCAGGAUUUAAGUUCCCUGACAAGGGAUUGAACCCAUGCCCCCUGUGGUGGGAGCGUGGACUAUUAACUAUUGCACCAACAGGGAAGUCCUUAUAUGUAUUAUCACUACGGGACCUCAUUAAAGUCACUGUCUGUACAUGCUUAUUCAUUUUGUCUUACAAAAGUAAAGUAUGUUUCACAUGUGGCUUACAUGUUGACACAUGCAGUAGAAGACAAUAAAAUUAUUAAUAAAAUUAAUAUAGUCCAUGGGGUCGCAAAGAGUCAGACACGACUGAGAGACUAACACACACACACACAAAAUUAUAGCUUUUUAUUUUUAUUUAAUCUUUUUAAAUGUUAGUGACAUAGUGCAGCAUUAUUACAGAGGAACUUGGCAAGGGUGUCACAUAUGUCCCUAAAAAAAAAAAGUACCUAAUAACAAAGACAAAUGAGGUUUUCUGAAUAUAUUCUCUGGCAGGAGUUGAGAAAAUACAAAAGCUCUUGUAGGUACUACCGUCUCUGGAUUUGUUAGUUGAAGGGUCUAGGAAAUGAGCAGCAAGUGCUUCACUUGCUCCCUUUGGCCAUCUGAGGCUCAUCGGGGGGACUGCAAUGUUCCCCCUUCCCCGUCUGUCCUGUUAGGAGGCCAGCAUGUGGGCGCGUCCCCCAGCAGUACGUUCACCAAAGAUGUCUGCGCAUCCUUCCACCACAGCGGUCUUAAAUGCCGUGCUAACAAGUUUACCGCUUCGUCUAGGAACAUGAUUCAGUCUCCAUGCAAGAAGCCCAGGUCAGGCCAUGAAAGAGAAGCCCCUGAGCUCCUCAGGCUCCAUUGUAGGAAAUGGGUCCCUAGAGCAGCCAGUGUUGAGCACCAGCCACAGGGACAGAGGUCAGGUUUUGUCCCCUUCUGAGUUGAAGUUUCACAAAGAACUAGUUCACAGUUGUCUGUCUUCUCAUGUGUCUCAUCUUCAUACUGUCAUGCACAGCAAAUUCUUCUUUAUUCUUAUCAUACAGCCAAGACUCUCACUUCAGAAACAGAACUGGGAUCCAGGAUGGAGGAAAAUGAGUGGUUUCUGCAGAAGCUGGGCAGAAAAGCCAUCAGCAAGUGUCUAGACCUGAACAACUGCAGACAGACAACAGCGGAUGUGAGGGAGACGGGUCUGUAUGGAGUUGACCUUAUCCAGAGGCACAAGGGCACAGAGGGCUGAGAUGAGCAGGCAAAGCGCUCCAUCCUCACUUGACUUGGAAAAACUGGAUAUUUCCUGGAAUGAUGUCACACGUGGAAACCUCCAUGUACUCACCCAGCAAAUGCAUCUUGUCAGCAAGUUAAAAAUCCUGAGGCUGAGUAGUUGCAGACUUACCGCUAAUGAUGUUUGGGCACUGGGUAUGAUGAAUGCUUCCCUUGAGAGAGUGCUUGAGAGAGAGAGUGCUCUCUGCAAUCCAAACCCUCAAGGGCAAAUUACCUGGGUGACCACUCCCCUUGGAUUCCCAUGGAUGAGGAUGAGAGCGCUGUCCGUACAUGAUCAAAUGCUGUGUUGAGCGUUUGCACUUUCUAGAGAACUGUGUAACCUGCACCCAUAAUUGCGCUAAGCCCUGGGAUAAAGAGGGGAACAGGCUGACCAAGCCUCUGGUCUCAGGGAGUUUAAAUGGUAAUAAUAAUUGCAAAAUUUGCUCUCUCUGGAUCUGUUACCUCAUCUGUAACACAGAGAAGUUGGGAUAGAUAAAUUAAGAUCCUUUCCAAUCUCAAAAUGCUUUUCUCUUUUCCCAUUCCUAUUUUUAAAAAAUUGAUCAAAACAAGAUUUUUCAAAUAAAAGCAAUGGUUUAAGUAGAACCAGAACCUCAAUUAAGUUAGUUUUGUAUGUUGAACACCGAAUAACCUAAAAUGUAGGCUAAAAUUUGUCAUGCUGUUAACCCAGCUGCUUUACUGGAAUGCUUGCUAAUUUUAGAUGCCAGACAUACUUUUUUAGUCUUCUUUUCAUCUCGUCUUUAUUUCAAUUAUGUAUUUUGAUCAUUUACAUCUCGGCAAAGAUUUCUGUAAAAGCAACAAAAUUUAUGCCAAUGUCUUUUCUCUAAACUGGAGGAGGAAAUGGCAAUCCACCCCAGUAUUGUCAGAAAUAUCCCAUGGACAGAGGAGCUUGGUGGGCUACAAUCCAUGGGGGUCACAGAGUCAGACAUGACUGAGCAUGCACAGAUGCACUUCUCUCUAAUAAUUCCCUAGAAAAUGGCCAGAUCCUAGUUUAAAUCCUGGUCCCACUUAUAACUAUUUUUGUGACCAUGGACAAAACAACCUUUUUGAGCCUUGGUUUUAUUAUCUCUGAAAUGAGGAUGAUAUCCACCUCAAAAAAUUGUGAGGAUUAAAUAAUUUUAUAAAGUACCUACUACAUGCUUGACACAUAGUAGGCACUCAAUAAUCGAUAAUUCCUUCUUUCCCUACUUCCCCAUCCAAAAUUACCUUUCUGUGGUUUUCUAUGAUCAAUUUAGCCUCACAGGUUCAGCUCAGUUCAGUCGCUCAGUCGUGUCCGACUCUUUGCGACCCCAUGAAUCACAACACGCCAGGCCUCCCUGUCCAUCACCAACUCCCGGAGUUCACCCAGAC